Molecule: ribosomal RNA, 468 nt
Filed under: uncultured bacterium
Lineage: Bacteria
Description: partial 16S ribosomal RNA
Rfam family: Bacterial small subunit ribosomal RNA
Source: RNAcentral
GACGAACGCUGGCGGCGUGCUUAACACAUGCAAGUCGAACGGAAAGGCCCUGCUUUUGUGGGGUGCUCGAGUGGCGAACGGGUGAGUAACACGUGAGUAACCUGCCCUUGACUUUGGGAUAACUUCAGGAAACUGGGGCGCAUACCGGAUAGGAGCUCCUGCUGCAUGUUGGGGGUUGGAAAGUUUCGGCGGUUGGGGAUGGUCUCGAUGCUUAUCCGCUUGUUGGUGAGGUAGUGGCUGACCAAGGCUUUGACGGGUAGCCCGCCUGAGAGGGUGACCGGGCACAUUGGGACUGAGAUACGGCCCAGACGCCUACGGGAGGCAGCAGGGGGGAAUAUUGCACAAUGGGCGGAAGCCUGAUGCAGCAACGCCGCGUGCGGGAUGACGGCCUUCGGGUUGUAAACCGAUUUCGCAUGUGACGAAGCGUGAGUGGCGGUAAUGGGUCAAGAAGCAACGGCUAACUACGUG